UACGGGGGGAGCAAGCGUUGUUCGGAGUCACUGGGCGUAAAGGGCGCGUAGGCGGUGCGUAAAGUCAGGCGUGAAAGCCCCGGACUUAACCUGGGAAUUGCGCUUGAUACUGACGUGCUAGAGAACGGGAGAGGAUGGCGGAAUUCCCAGUGUAGAGGUGAAAUUCGUAGAUAUUGGGAAGAACACCGGUGGCGAAGGCGGCCAUCUGGACCAUUCUGACACUGAGACGCGAAAGCGUCGGGUAGCAAA
This 249-nucleotide ribosomal RNA is filed under the name uncultured bacterium. RNAcentral describes it as "partial 16S ribosomal RNA". It matches the Rfam family "Bacterial small subunit ribosomal RNA", at positions 524 to 772 of the family's 1533-position model. The record is from RNAcentral.